AUUGAACGCUGGCGGUAUGCUUAACACAUGCAAGUCGAACGGUAACAGGCUAGCUUGCUAGUGCUGACGAGUGGCGGACGGGUGAGUAAUGCGCAGGAAUCUACCUUUUGGUGGGGGAUAACUUGGGGAAACUCAAGCUAAUACCGCACAGACCUGAGAGGGUAAAGCGGGGGUCGCAAGACCUCGCGCCGAUGGAUGAGCCGAAGUCGGAUUAGCUAGUUGGUAGGGUAACGGCCUACCAAGGCGACGAUCCGUAGCUGGUCUGAGAGGACGACCAGCCCAACUGGGACUGAGACACGGCCCAGACUCCUACGGGAGGCAGCAGUGGGGAAUAUUGGACAAUGGGGGCAACCCUGAUCCAGCGACGCCGCGUGUGUGAAGAAGGCCUGUGGGUUGUAAAGCACUUUUAGUGGGGACAAAAAGCCGAGGGCUAAUACCUUUCGGUCUUGAUUUAACCCAAAGAAAAAGCACCGGCUAACUCUGUGCCAGCAGCCGCCGUAA
Molecule: ribosomal RNA, 501 nt
Filed under: uncultured bacterium
Lineage: Bacteria
Description: partial 16S ribosomal RNA
Rfam family: Bacterial small subunit ribosomal RNA
Source: RNAcentral